This 1325-nucleotide ribosomal RNA is filed under the name metagenome. RNAcentral's name for it is "bacterial LSU rRNA". It matches the Rfam family "Bacterial large subunit ribosomal RNA", at positions 1561 to 2925 of the family's 2925-position model. The record is from RNAcentral.
AGUGGAUGGGGAGCAACCUAGUUGUGCGUGUGUAAAGGUAGUGCCAAGAAAAGCGAUGAUCAUGUUGAAAAUCAAUUCCCGGUACCCGAAACCGACACAGGUGGGCAAGUAGAGAAUACUAAGGGGCGCGAGGUAACUCUCUCCAAGGAACUCGGCAAAAUGACCCCGUAACUUAGGGAGAAGGGGUGCCACCGAGAGGUGGUCGCAGUGAAGAGGCCCAGGCGACUGUUUAGCAAAAACAUAGGUCUCUGCAAACUCGAAAGAGGAGGUAUAGGGGCUGACGCCUGCCCAGUGCCGGAAGGUUAAAGAAGUUGGUCAGUUUUAGGAUGAAGCUAGCGACUGAAGCCCCGGUGAACGGCGGCCGUAACUAUAACGGUCCUAAGGUAGCGAAAUUCCUUGUCGGGUAAGUUCCGACCCGCACGAAAGGCGUAACGAUCUGGGCGCUGUCUCGGAGAGAGGCUCGGCGAAAUAGGAUUGUCUGUGAAGAUACGGACUACCUGCAUUUGGACAGAAAGACCCUAUGAAGCUUUACUAUAGCUUGGAAUUGUGUUCGGGCUUCCUGUGCGCAGGAUAGGUGGGAGGCGUAGAAGGUAUUCUUGUGGGGAUACUGGAGCCAACGGUGAGAUACCACUCUCAGGAGGCUAGAAUUCUAACUUAAUUAAGGACAGUUUCAGGUGGGUAGUUUGACUGGGGCGGUCGCCUCCAAAAAGGUAACGGAGGCGUACAAAGGUUCCCUCAGACUGGUUGGAAAUCAGUCGAAGAGUGCAAAGGCAGAAGGGAGCUUGACUGCGAGAAGUACAGUUCGAGCAGGGUGGAAACACGGUCUUAGUGAUCCGACGGUGCUGUGUGGAAGGGCCGUCGCUCAACGGAUAAAAGUUACUCUAGGAUAACAGGCUGAUCUCCCCCAAGAGUUCACAUCGACGGGGAGGUUUGGCACCUCGAUGUCGGCUCAUCGCAACCUGGGGCGGAAGUACGUCCCAAGGGUUGGGCUGUUCGCCCAUUAAAGCGGUACGUGAGCUGGGUUCAGAACGUCGUGAGACAGUUCGGUCCAUGUCCGAUGUAGGCGUGAGAAUAUUGAGAGGAGCCUUCCUUAGUACGAGAGGACCGGGAAGGACGCACCGCUGGUGUACCUGUUAUGAUGCCAAUUGUAAACGCAGGGUAGCCAAGUGCGGAGAGGAUAACCGCUGAAAGCAUCUAAGUGGGAAGCCCACCUCAAGAUGAGUAUUCUGGUGUAAGGUCACGGGAAGACGACCCGUAAAUAGGCACGAGGUGGAAGUGCAGAGAUGUAUGAAGCCGAAGUGUACUAAUAGACCGUCGGCUUGACC